GGGGGGGGGAUGAAAAAUUGCCUCGUUUAUAUAUAAUAAAAUCUCAUAUGGUAUAACACAUGAAACUACAUUUAUAUUUAACUUUAUCGUCUCAUAUGAGUAUGACAUUGAUGUGAUAUAUAUUUGGAUAAUCGAGCAUAUUCAAUUUAUUUUUGAAAUUUAUGUGUGACAAGUAAAACGUAGUUUUUAGCAGUAUUUUUACCUACCAUAGUCCAUAGAAUCCCUAUAUGAUUGUUAUAUAUUUAUAUAUAUGUUUUCGGUUUUUAGGUUGAUUGUUCUCAAUUUGGAUAAGGUAAGACGAGUAGAAAACCAUCAUAUUAUGGGAUACUUUAUUCUCUUUAUCGGGAAAUAAAGCGACAAAAAUUAGGGCUGGAUAUUAAAGAGAAUUGAAUCGAACCUCGAAAUUUUCGAGUAUUUAGUAAGUGUAUCCGUUUGUUUUAAAUUUAAUUAUGGAACCGUUUGAGUUGAGUUGUACUAUAAUUAAAAUUUUUAAUAUUUACAAAGUUACAUUAAUUAAACUAAUAAAAUGUUCAAUUUUAGUUCUUACAAAAUAAUAUAGUUCAAUCUUAUGUAUCUUUUACGUCUUUAUUUAUUGAGUUUUUCAGAUAUUUGAUUAUUAAAAUCACAUGAAGGGAAAGAUAUCGAGCUUACAAUAAUUAAGAGAGGUGUGGUUGAACUUCAAUUCGAUUACUCCAUGUUAAGGAAGUAAAUAAUGUAAAUUAGGCAGGGGUGUAACUAGAGUUUAUUGUAUUUUCAUAAUUACUGAGUUUCUAUAUGUUUGUGUACUCUCGAUUUUACCAUAUAAUGAAAGAAGAGGAGGGAAAGUAAAAAGAACCUUAUUCUCUAAAAGUUAUAUCAAACCUAUUUCACAAUGGUAUCAAAGCAUUGAUUCUGGGCUUUGGUAUUAUCUCCUUCCCCCUGACUUUCUCUUUUUUACCAUAAACUUAAAUCUUCAUUGGAGUAUAGUUGCUGUCAGUCGAGGUGGUCUCGGACGUCAGAAGAAGCUUGCGCUGCGAUUGAUUGUAACAGUCGAGUGGUUGUGCAGCGUUUGUUGGAAUUCCUUCGAUGGUUCGAUGAUGGUUUUGUGGUGAUUCGAUGGGUAUAGAAAGUGGGUUUUCCUGUGGUGGUGUCGUUUCUGUUGAAGGUAGUGAUCAGAGCCCUCAAGUUUGGUAGGCAAAGCCUAGGUGUGUCGAUUGUAGCCGACGACAUCGACGAAGGUUCUCAGUGGACUUCGGUUGGUUUGUGACUGUGGGAUGUGUUUUGUUUAUUUGACUUGGACCUUCUCAAUUGAUCUCAGUUUGCUAUUUAGGCUAAUUAAAUUGGGCUACUAUUGUUGGACUCUAAUAAUUAUGUUGGGCUCAUUUUGUUAUUUGAUUUCUUUGGGCUCUAAUUAUUGGUUUGUGGUUGCCUG
Molecule: long non-coding RNA, 1411 nt
Filed under: Olea europaea (common olive)
Lineage: Eukaryota; Viridiplantae; Streptophyta; Magnoliopsida; Lamiales; Oleaceae
Description: long non-coding RNA (OEUR_LNC015571)
Source: RNAcentral